RNAcentral lists this ribosomal RNA (606 nucleotides) under Trichoderma sp. K5225-3-1. RNAcentral describes it as "eukaryotic LSU rRNA". It matches the Rfam family "Eukaryotic large subunit ribosomal RNA", at positions 38 to 667 of the family's 3401-position model. The record is from RNAcentral. Lineage: Eukaryota; Fungi; Ascomycota; Sordariomycetes; Hypocreales; Hypocreaceae.
GCAUAUCAAUAAGCGGAGGAAAAGAAACCAACAGGGAUUGCCCCAGUAACGGCGAGUGAAGCGGCAACAGCUCAAAUUUGAAAUCUGGCCCCUAGGGUCCGAGUUGUAAUUUGUAGAGGAUGCUUUUGGUGAGGUGCCGCCCGAGUUCCCUGGAACGGGACGCCGCAGAGGGUGAGAGCCCCGUCUGGCUGGCCACCGAGCCUCUGUAAAGCUCCUUCGACGAGUCGAGUAGUUUGGGAAUGCUGCUCAAAAUGGGAGGUAUAUGUCUUCUAAAGCUAAAUAUUGGCCAGAGACCGAUAGCGCACAAGUAGAGUGAUCGAAAGAUGAAAAGCACCUUGAAAAGAGGGUUAAACAGUACGUGAAAUUGUUGAAAGGGAAGCGCUUGUGACCAGACUUGGGCGCGGCGGAUCAUCCGGGGUUCUCCCCGGUGCACUUCGCCGUGUUCAGGCCAGCAUCAGUUCGGCGCGGGGGAAAAAGGCUUCGGGAACGUGGCUCCUCCGGGAGUGUUAUAGCCCGUUGCAUAAUACCCUGCGCUGGACUGAGGACCGCGCAUCUGCAAGGAUGCUGGCGUAAUGGUCACCAGCGACCCGUCUGGAAACACGGAAC